UGAAACGGGGCCGUACAUCUCAUGUACGGACCCAUUUUGGUCAGGCUCUCGCGCGUGGAGUUUGCGACCUCUGUUCUGGCACGUUCUUGCUCAGCUUGUUUUGGGUAGCGACGCGAGACGAGCUUUAUCGGGGCCGAAUAUUGGGCCCGAUAUUCGGUCUUGGCCAUGGGUCGCCUCGUCCGCUGCUAUAAAACAGCCGAUCAAUCGACGUGCCGGGGUCUAACGUGGAAGCAAAGGCCCGCAGCCCUACGCGUGAGUAGCAGAAGUUUGAAGUUGAAGUAGAAGUUUGAAGUAGAAGUUUGAAGUAGAAGUUUGAAGCAGAAGUUUGAAGCAGAAGUUUGAAGUUGAAGUAGAAGUUGAAGUAGAAGUUUGAAGUGUGUUCUGUUGUAACUGUUGUUUUGUGUACCCAUAAAAUAUUCCGCCAAACCAGUUUGUUGUUCCUCAGCUCUACCUCACCACCUGAGCCCCCCCCCCCCCCUUUCAUGGUGGAGGCCAAAGGAAGACCGGCACCGGAGGAACACACAGCUACAAGGAGGAGAAUUUUAAGAAUGUUGUCAAUUGCACUUUUUGUGAUGUACUGCAAGAUUGCAGUCAUGGCGGUCCACAUAGAGAAGUUACAAGGUGGAGUCAUUUUCCAAAACAUGGGAUCAGCAGUUUUGCCCUCGGCCUCUUAUUCAGUAGUAAUUAAGUAUGAUUUCAAUGAACUCAGGAAACAAGAUAACAGUUUAGAGGAGGAUUUCAGCAAUCUUUCAAAGUAUUUAGCUGUACACGGGAAAACUACAACGCAAUCUGGAGCAUUUUUAGCAGAAUUGAACUUUUUGCACAAAGAACUCACUGAAUAUGAGGCCGAGACGUCUGCACUCAUGGAGCUUGUGCCGCAUUCUCCGAAAAAAAGGUCUCUAUGUGAUGGGCUCGGUAGAGUCAUCUCAUCAGUGACUGGACUCAUGGAUGAUGAGGAUAAAUUAGCAGUUCAAUCUACGUUGGAGGACCUUCAAGGCAAAGUGCAAGCCUUAAAUAUUGAAGUUUCAGCAAAAAAAAUUGUUAUUAAAAAUAUUUUAGAGGAUAAUGUAAAUAACACUAAAAUUUUGGGAUCUUUGGCAAGAGAAAUAUGUACAAAUAAUGGAAUAUUACAAGAUAUUGAAAAUUGGGUGUAUACGGAGGGUAAGUUGCAGGAACUUGGGUUCUGGGUGAGUAAAAUACGAUUCGAGAGAAACCGAGUAAGGAUUGGUCUAGAAAUGGCAUUGAAAAAUAAGUUAACACCUGAGUUAUUGAGCCCUAAAAGCUAUCUUUCAGUUUUAUUAAGUGUACAAAAAGCAAUUUUGCCACAGUACCAGUUAGUAUUUGCGCCUAGUAUGAGUACGUUACAAAAUUUUUAUGAAUUGGGGCAGGUCAAAUUGAAGGUUAUUGACAUGGUUUUAGUGGCCAGUAUAAAUAUCCCAUUAGUAAAAUUGGCACAUCAUGUACAUUAUUAAAAUUAAAUGCGGUUCCUCUUUUCCACCCCGAAAUUCGGCAUUUUGUGCAGUUUUUAGUGGAGGAUUAUUUGAUUAUCUCAUCGGAUUUUAAAUAUUACAUCACUUUAAAGGAACAAGAAAUGAAAGAUUGUCAGCCUAUUAAAAAUACCACUAUUUGCCAGGUAGCUAAGCCAAUGAUAUCCUGUAGGGUGCAUUCGUGUGAAUUUGACUUGUUUCACUCCAAAAAUAUUGAUAAAUGUAAGAAGCAAAUCAUACGAAGUGGGGAGGAGUUUUAUGAAAAAAUAGGUGGAGAUUGGUUGUUUUCCGUGGCUAAACCAGUGGAAGUUCGAAUUACUUGCGGAUCGACCCACGAGGUGCAGAAAUUGUCUGGGGCGGGGUUUUUGAAAAAUGUCCGGGACUGUGAAGUUGACUCGGACACGCGGACACUGCCAGCGGGCGUGGAUUUAAGCGGGGACGCGAUUUUUGGUUGGGUCGGUUUGACUAUACCAGAUCUGGGUGGGAGGAUCUUAACGCAGCCGGAAAGUGAUUUGCUUCAGAAAGCCAAGUUGGGGGAAAAGAGUUUAGAGGAGCGAGUUAAGGAAAGUGUAGCGAGAGUGAAUAGUCACGCUGAGCUAAACGAAGUUUUGGGUCAAAUUACAGCGCAAUGGGAGCAGAGUUCGUGGGUGCCGACAGAGUGGCAUUUGCAUGGGUUGACAGUUUCCGUGGGUAUUCUUUUGAUUGUCAUUCUUGUACUCGGUCACUGGAUGCGGGCAAAAACGAAACCAAGGGUUUACUAAAAAAUCCCGGUGCCCCGGCGGUUUCAGCACCUCACGGGUUCUUCUGUAAAUUUUUCUCGAUGGAAUGCUAUGCUAUUUUAAUCAAGUAUUCUUUUACUUACAAAAACGUAUGAGGAAUGUUUUCUAUUUUUUCUAUACUCAUGCGCAACACGGCCAUUAUCUUUUGUUAUCAUCUUUUGGCCACAGAAAAAGUAGUGGUGGAGGCCCGGUCGUCCCUAGUAAAGGAGCUUUGUAGCACAGUACCUAAUGUUUCUUUUAGUUCCGUGAUAUUUAUAUUUUUAUCAAAUUGUUAUAAAUUUUUUUUGUUAGUUUCUAAUCUGGUGUAAUUUUGAGUUUAAGGUCCUUCCGUUCCGUAGAGUUAUAUGGGUGAACCAGGCACUCACUCGAUGCAAGACUUUUCGAGUCAAGUGUAUACCGAGGAUUGGUGCCUCAACCCCAACUGGUUCUUCACCUGGUCGGAUUGAAAAGCUCGAUUCAAUCCCUGGUGCUAUCGGGCAGACUAACAGAGUCCCUGGUCAGGGAUACGACCGAAGAAAAGAUAUAAUGACGGAGCGGUCGUCGGGGACCUUUCUCAAUGCAGGGCUACUCUGAAGCUGGUCGAGGGGUCACGGACUGUGAGCUGCAAUGCAAAGGCUUGGCGAGGAGGUGCAGUUUUUCUUUUCGUCGGCUACAUCACGGAGCAAAGAUGUGGGGGCAACUCUCGGGCAACGUGGGACCAGUGCAGGAGCACGACGAAUCGGAUGGGGAACUGCGAUGUGGGCUUCAUCAUCGACCUUUGCAUUGGGACAAGAUGCAUCUGCAGUAGACGUCGGAUUUUUAUUGGAUAUUAAUUAUGUAUUUAUUUUGUAUUUAUAUGUCUAUAGUUCCAGCGUCUCUUUUUGUUUUUUUAAGGGGCCAUCUAAAGCAGGGGGAAUGAAACGGGGCCGUACAUCUCAUGUACGGACCCAUUUUGGUCAGGCUCUCGCGCGUGGAGUCUGCGACCUCUGUUCUGGCACGUUCUUGCUCAGCUUGUUUUGGGUAGCGACGCGAGGCGAGCUUUAUCGGGGC
Molecule: long non-coding RNA, 3295 nt
Filed under: Bemisia tabaci
Lineage: Eukaryota; Metazoa; Arthropoda; Insecta; Hemiptera; Aleyrodidae
Description: lncRNA ENSSSA1NGG004617
Source: RNAcentral